Rhizobium sp. is the source of this 126-nucleotide non-coding RNA. The record is from Rfam. NCBI's taxonomy places the organism in Bacteria, Pseudomonadati, Pseudomonadota, Alphaproteobacteria, Hyphomicrobiales, Rhizobiaceae.
AACAUUCGUCGCGGUGGGCGGCCGCUUCAUCUAUAGCGGCCCCUUCAAGCGAUGAUCUCGUUCAUCGACGAACACCGUGGUGUGUCCGGGGGCGAGCCGAUCUGCAGGCUACUGCCGAUUGCCCCA